Trichechus manatus latirostris (Florida manatee) is the source of this 2966-nucleotide RNA transcript. It is a transcript of the gene named transmembrane protein 183A, with no coding region annotated. NCBI's taxonomy places the organism in Eukaryota, Metazoa, Chordata, Mammalia, Sirenia, Trichechidae. The record is from RefSeq and is a predicted model, not a curated record. The transcript is spliced from 9 exons.
UAAGUUAUCGCGAGAGCAGAGGCCUCGGGUGCGGGAUGGCCGCAGAGCCGGGCGUAUCUGGCUGGCUGCUCCCGGGUCCAGCUCCCCGGCCUAAGAUAUGGCCCGGGGCCCCGGCCCGUUAGGCCAGCCUCGCUCUAACACGGUCGCCAUGCCCAAGAGGGGGAAGCGACUCAAGUUUCGGGCCCACGACGCCUGCUCUGGUCGAGUGACCGUGGCGGAUUAUGCCAACUCCGAUCCGGCCGUCGUGAAGUCUGGACGGGUCAAGAAAGCCGUCGCCAAUGCUGUUCAGCAGGAAGUAAAAUCUCUUUGUGGCUUGGAAGCCUCCCAGGUUCCUGCAGAGGAAGCUCUCUCUGGGGCUGGUGAACCCUGUGACAUCAUCGACAGCAGUGACGAGGUGGACGCCCAAGAGGAGAGCAUUUAUGAGAGAACUGUCUCCAGAAAAAAGAAAAGCAAGAGGCACAAAGAAGACCUGGACAGGGCUGGAGGAGAAGAGUAUCCCAUGGAUAUUUGGCUCUUGCUGGCCUCAUACAUCCGUCCUGAGGACAUUGUGAAUUUUUCCCUGAUUUGUAAGAAUGCGUGGACUGUCACUUGCACUGCUGCCUUUUGGACCAGGUUGUACCGAAGGUGCGACCACAGAGAGCUCACUGUGUUAUCUGUGUAGCUGAUUUCAUUGCUGUUUGUGAUUUGGAGCUACUCCCUGGAUGGUGACCUUUUCAAUUUCUCUGCUCUUUGCCUGGGUGUGAGCCUAGCAUUGGAUUCCUUGAGUCCCUCUAAUUUAAAUUUGAUAUUAUUAAUUCAUCCAGGCACUACACGCUGGAUGCCUCUCUGCCUUUGCGCCUGCGACCAGAGUCAAUGGAGAAGUUGCGCUGUCUCCGGGCAUGUGUGAUCCGAUCUCUGUACCAUAUGUAUGAGCCAUUUGCUGCUCGAAUCUCCAAGAAUCCAGCCAUUCCAGAAAGCACUCCCAGCACACUAAAGAAUUCCAAAUAGCAUAGCUUGUUUGGGACACUGGAGCCGUUGUGAUGGCAGCAGAAGUGUUUGCCCCUUAAAGCCAAGCCCAUUAUUUUUGAUGGAACAGCAGGACGUACAGGGCAUGUCUGAAGGGCAGGACAGCUGGCACGGCGGACGACCCACCCCUUAUCCCCUGGGAGUGCUUACUUUUCUGGUGCAGAAAGAUUGUUGGGAAUAGACAGGAACCAAUGUGGGAAUUCAACUUCAAGUUCAAAAAACAGCCCCCUAGGUUAAAGAGCAAGUGUAUGGGAGGGUUGCAGCCGCCCAUUCAAUACGAAGAUGUUCAUACCAACCCAGACCAGGACUGCUGCCUACUGCAGGUCACCACCCUCAAUUUCAUCUUUAUUCCAAUUGUCAUGGGAAUGAUCUUUACCCUGUUUACUAUCAGCGUGAGCACGGACAUGCGGCACCAUCGAGUGAGACUGGUGUUCCAGGAUUCUCCUAUCCAUGGUGGUCGGAAACUGCGCAGUGAACAGGGCGUGCAAGUCAUCCUUGACCCAGUGCACAGUGUUCGGCUCUUUGACUGGUGGCACCCUCAGUAUCCGUUCUCCCUGAGAGCCUAGUUACUACUUCCCAUCCCUGGGGGCUGCCCUGAGCUAGGCCAGUCCAUUAGGAAGCAGAUUCCAGUUUGGCAGCUGGAUUGUGUAUCUGGUUAGUGAUGCACAUGCUCUUCAGGUUCCAGGGACUUCUGUUAGUGGAGGGAGACCGGCUGAAUCAAGAGGAAAACCAACUAUGAUUUAUAAACAUAUUUUCAUGUAAAAUUUGCAUUUGAAAGGAGAUACCUGGCCCUAUUUUCUGCGUUAAAACCCCAUUUGGUGCUAUUGAGUUUGUUGUUCUUUAUUCUUUUAUCCCAGUGAAAAUGGAUGGUCUUGCUCUAGGGAAAAAUUAAUUCAUGACUCUCCAAACAAGGAAGUUUCAGUAUUCCCUUACGGAUCGAGGAACUUGUGCUACUGUUGCUUCCAAUUUAGCUGCCCCUCAAAUCCAAGUGAAUACUUUCUCUUCUCUCUGUACCCUUCUCCAGAAAUAAAGUAGGUGACAGGGUUUUCAGAAUCUUACAAGAUUGACUUUUGUGUCUUUUUCUUUUUUUAAUAAUAAUUUUUGGAUAUUUAUGUGUAAAUGUUCUUUUGGCUAUUUUGAAUUUUAGAUAUUUUUUUGCAUGAGGUUGAUAGUGGUGAUGAUAGUGACUUUGUGCCCUUGGUACUUUGCCAGGAACUUUACUUAGUAUCUCUAAUUCUUAAAACCCUGCAAGGUAGGUGAUACUGUUCUAUUUUAUGGGUGAGGAAACAGAACCAGUGACUUACCCAAGGCCAUACAGCCAGUAAAUGGCAGAGCCAAUAAUUCUGAGCCAGGUCUGUGUGUGCUCCUUUUGCUGUACCACAAUGAAAAAGAUCAGUCUCGUUUUUCUUGUGACAGAUGGUGGUAAAAGGGAGGAGGCAGCGUAGAUUAAAAAAAGUAAAAGGGUAAGUAAAAAUGUGAUUAUAAUAUACCUUAUCCCUGUUCAGCCUAAGAGGUAUAUAUAAGAUUGAUGAAGGAAUCUUUUAAAUAAUGUGUUUCUUUUUAAUUAAAAUGUAAAAUAAACCAAGAAAGGAUACUGUCCUUACUGCAGGAACGAUAGUAGUAGCAUUUUCAUUCACUUGUUAGAAGGGCAUUUGUGAGGCUGAAGGUCAUUUUAAAAAAUGCGUCUCAUGGAGGAACUAGCCUCCUGAACCAUAAGCAAUUAGUGACCGUCCUUUGCUCUGCACUGCACUGUGCUGCCUCUCCUACCAUCCUGUGUGUCCACAGGAGCCUGGCCUCUUGUCCCUGCAGAAAUGCUGACAUCCUCUGUUUGGUCAGAGGACUUAACUGUAGUUGGUGUACUCUGAGAAGGUGGUCACGGGUGGAGUUUUUUUUUUUUUUUUGCUAAAAAGAUAACCUUGCUGCUUGCCCCCCCCCCCCCCCCCGAUUGACCACUGGGCUGG